Molecule: ribosomal RNA, 498 nt
Filed under: uncultured bacterium
Lineage: Bacteria
Description: partial 16S ribosomal RNA
Rfam family: Bacterial small subunit ribosomal RNA
Source: RNAcentral
AUUGAACGCUGGCGGCAUGCCUUACACAUGCAAGUCGAACGGUAACGCGGGGCAACCUGGCGACGAGUGGCGAACGGGUGAGUAAUGUAUCGGAACGUGCCCAGUUGUGGGGGAUAACUGCUCGAAAGAGCAGCUAAUACCGCAUACGACCUGAGGGUGAAAGCGGGGGAUCGCAAGACCUCGCGCAAUUGGAGCGGCCGAUAUCAGAUUAGGUAGUUGGUGGGGUAAAGGCUCACCAAGCCGACGAUCUGUAGCUGGUCUGAGAGGACGACCAGCCACACUGGGACUGAGACACGGCCCAGACGCCUACGGGAGGCAGCAGUGGGGAAUUUUGGACAAUGGACGCAAGUCUGAUCCGGCCAUGCCGCGUGCGGGAAGAAGGCCUUCGGGUUGUAAACCGCUUUUGUCAGGGAAGAAACGCUCUGGGUUAAUACCUCGGGGUAAUGACGGUACCUGAAGAAUAAGCACCGGCUAACUACGUGCCAGCCGCCGCCGUAA